UGCAGAAAUCACUUGAUCAGACCACACAAUGCAGAGCAGAUUGUUGCGUUUGCUGCUCUAACAUUCAAGUAUUCCCCUCACGAAGUGAACCAAAGACUUAAACCUCAAUGAAUGAGUGAGAGUAAAAUUUACGACACGCUGAAUGUUUGAGUAAUCAGUCAAAACGGGCACAAGCUAAAGGACAUCCUAGAUGUUCUGAAUAGAAAUGGCAAAGUUGCAUGUUAUGUAUCUUUACUAUCAAACCUGCGCUUUUGUUACUCUAAAAUGUCACAUUCUAGGCACCCAGAGAUCCAUUUCCUACUAUGUGCUUAUGUACCAUCCUGAAUAAUAGAGAAAUGAAUACAUUAAUUCAUCUUUCAGCGUGUUGUUGCCUCACUUUGUGAGAACCUGUGAUAAUUAUGAGCCGCUGAAAGACAAAAACUAGAUGGGCCUGCUGCGUGUAAUGAAAGGGGUACGACUUAAAGCCUGGGAAGCGUGAUGAGCAUCAGUAAGUGUUCAACACAGUGCGCAGCAAAGCUGAGCAGCAUCUCAACGGUUUGACUGCAAGACCAAGAGGAUGCCCGUUAAACGAGUUGUUUUCUAAACCGAUACCCAAAGCGCACGGCGCCAGGUGUACCCGCAGAUACUGCUGCCAAAGCAGCAAAUGCCACGGUACGGGCCAGGCCAUCUCCAUCUCCAUCAAAGCAGAGCGCUUCAAAACGGACAAUCUCACUUCUCUCUUUUCCCCACAGGUCUGAGUAGUUUUGUAUCUAUCUCAAAUGAGACACAGAGGUAUGCUCCAAGCUGACCCAAAAGUCAGCUGGUCAUGACAAACCUCCCGUCGGGCCCCCUCUCUCUCUCUCCCCAUCUGUCCUCAGAAAGGAUCCUUUGUGCCAGGCUCUCACGGGUGCCUCUGCACCGCGGUUUUAACUUUCACUGACACAACCUGGGGCCAAUAGGACCCUCGCCCAAAACCGUGGACAGGAAGAACGAGCGAAAGCUGCAAGGAGCAGCCCAGCUCAGCCUGUGAGAAGCGCUCCGCUGUGACUGAGAUAGCCGAGGACCGAUGGUCAACGGUGGCUGACGGUGGCCUGUUCCUGACCCGUGUCAGAGGAUUUGGAAGAUGUGAGGAGGAGGACUUGAACAAGCAGGUGAACGUCAGCUCCUCCCUGGAUGGCUUUGGAUCAGGUGGUCGUGGCUGGGAUUGAAAGUGCUAGGACCUCCCUGUGAACUCUGGCAUGUCGUGUUCAAUAGAUUCCACCAGGUGGCACACUACCCAGCGUGGACGUGAGGCUGCUCGCUUCCUUUUCCUUUUAAUCUUCUAAUGUAAAUGUCACACCACAACCUAAUGUGAAGUGAAUUAUUUGUAGUCCUCUUGUUGGAAAGUUUAGGCUCUGGUGUAACUUUCUGCCCCCCC
This is a long non-coding RNA of Fundulus heteroclitus (mummichog), 1396 nucleotides long. RefSeq lists it as uncharacterized. The record is from RefSeq and is a predicted model, not a curated record. Lineage: Eukaryota; Metazoa; Chordata; Actinopteri; Cyprinodontiformes; Fundulidae. The transcript is spliced from 2 exons.